AUACUCUCAACCUUCUUGGUUUUCUUUGACCACGAAGGCUUGGACUUUGGAGGUUUUUCUUGCUGGCCUCUUUUGAAGCCAGCUCCUCCUAAAUGAAUGGGUGGGGUCCGCUUUGCUGAUCCUCGACGUGAUAAGCAUUUCUUCUACGUCUCAGUGUCAGCUCGGAACCCGCUUUCCAACUUGUUCGAGUUGUGACUCGACUUUACAAA
This 209-nucleotide unclassified non-coding RNA is filed under the name uncultured Russula. RNAcentral's name for it is "sequence contains ITS2". Lineage: Eukaryota; Fungi; Basidiomycota; Agaricomycetes; Russulales; Russulaceae. The record is from RNAcentral.